Molecule: ribosomal RNA, 375 nt
Filed under: uncultured bacterium
Lineage: Bacteria
Description: bacterial SSU rRNA
Rfam family: Bacterial small subunit ribosomal RNA
Source: RNAcentral
GAUGAACGCUAGCGGCAGGCUUAAUACAUGCAAGUCGAGCGGGAUUCUCCUUCGGGAGAUGAGAGCGGCGCACGGGUGAGUAACGCGUACGUAACCUGCCUUACAGAGGGGAAUAGCCCUGGGAAACUGGGAUUAAUACUCCAUAGUAUAUAGAUGGCGCAUGCUGUUUAUAUUAAAGUUGAGGCGCUGUAAGAUGGGCGUGCGUGCUAUUAGCUUGUUGGUGAGGUAAUGGCUCACCAAGGCGACGACGGGUAGCCGGCCUGAGAGGGCGACCGGCCACACUGGGACUGAGACACGGCCCAGACUCCUACGGGAGGCAGCAGUGGGGAAUAUUGGGCAAUGGAGGAAACUCGUGACCCCAGCGACGCCGCGUGC